This 266-nucleotide ribosomal RNA is filed under the name uncultured bacterium. Its description in RNAcentral is "partial 16S ribosomal RNA". It matches the Rfam family "Bacterial small subunit ribosomal RNA", at positions 793 to 1055 of the family's 1533-position model. The record is from RNAcentral.
GUCCACGCCCUAAACGAUGCGAACUAGGUGUUGGGGAAGGAGACUUCCUUAGUACCGCAGCUAACGCGUGAAGUUCGCCGCCUGGGGAGUACGGUCGCAAGAUUAAAACUCAAAGGAAUUGACGGGGACCCCGCACAAGCGGUGGAUGAUGUGGAUUAAUUCGAUGCAACGCGAAAACCUUACCUACCCUUGACAUGUACGGAAGCCUCCCGAGACGGAGGUGUGCCCGAAAGGGAGCCGUAACACAGGUGCUGCAUGGCUGUCGU